Morone saxatilis (striped sea-bass) is the source of this 351-nucleotide long non-coding RNA. RefSeq lists it as uncharacterized. The record is from RefSeq and is a predicted model, not a curated record. The transcript has 4 exons. NCBI's taxonomy places the organism in Eukaryota, Metazoa, Chordata, Actinopteri, Moronidae.
GCACCGUCUCUCUCUGACACCAGGAAGAAAACUGAGGAAGAACUUCAAAGCUCAGACCUGACAACCGACAAAGCAGAUGGCUGGACUGUGGUGGAUGACUGUGACGCUGGUAUUGCUGCUGUCUGCUGGAAGUAUUUUGUCUGAUGCUAACAAGGAGAAAGAAGUAGUAGAUCUGGGGAAGUUGAUGAGAGAACACAUAAAAGAUAAGGCUGCAGACAAUAAGGACCCUCAACAUCCUCACAAUGGUGCAGCUGCUCCAGCCUGAUGGUCCCAGUCUCUCUCUCUGUAAAGGGGGCAGGAGGCUUCAAAGUGCUUUGAGUCAGUCACAUUUGAUUAAAAAUGAAAUAAAAA